This 497-nucleotide ribosomal RNA is filed under the name uncultured bacterium. RNAcentral describes it as "partial 16S ribosomal RNA". It matches the Rfam family "Bacterial small subunit ribosomal RNA", at positions 28 to 507 of the family's 1533-position model. The record is from RNAcentral.
GAUGAACGCUGGCGGCGUGCCUAAUACAUGCAAGUCGAGCGAACAGACGAGGAGCUUGCUCCUCUGACGUUAGCGGCGGACGGGUGAGUAACACGUGGAUAACCUACCUAUAAGACUGGGAUAACUUCGGGAAACCGGAGCUAAUACCGGAUAACAUGUUGAACCGCAUGGUUUAACAGUGAAAGACGGUCUUGCUGUCACUUAUAGAUGGAUCCGCGCCGCAUUAGCUAGUUGGUAAGGUAACGGCUUACCAAGGCAACGAUGCGUAGCCGACCUGAGAGGGUGAUCGGCCAUACUGGAACUGAGACACGGUCCAGACUCCUACGGGAGGCAGCAGUAGGGAAUCUUCCGCAAUGGGCGAAAGCCUGACGGAGCAACGCCGCGUGAGUGAAGAAGGUCUUCGGAUCGUAAAACUCUGUUAUUAGGGAAGAACAAAUGUGUAAGUAACUAUGCACGUCUUGACGGUACCUAAUCAGAAAGCCACGGCUAACUACGUG